GACGAACGCUGGCGGCGUGCUUAACACAUGCAAGUCGAACGGAAAGGCCCUGCUUGCAGGGUACUCGAGUGGCGAACGGGUGAGUAACACGUGGGUGAUCUGCCCUGCACUUCGGGAUAAGCCUGGGAAACUGGGUCUAAUACCGGAUAGGAGCCAUUUUUAGUGUGAUUGUUGGAAAGUUUUUUCGGUGUAGGAUGAGCUCGCGGCCUAUCAGCUCGUUGGUGGGGUAAUGGCCUACCAAGGCGGCGGCGGGUGGCCGGCCGGAGAGGGUGGACGGCCACAUUGGGACUGAGACACGGCCCAGACGCAGACGGGAGGAAGGAGUGGGGAAUAUUGCACAAUGGGCGCAAGCCUGAUGCAGGGACGCCGGGUGGGGGAUGACGGACUUCGGGUUGUAAACUCCUUUCGCUAGGGACGAAGCUUUUUGUGACGGUACCUAGAUAAGAAGCGCCGGCUAACUACGUG
RNAcentral lists this ribosomal RNA (465 nucleotides) under uncultured bacterium. RNAcentral describes it as "partial 16S ribosomal RNA". It matches the Rfam family "Bacterial small subunit ribosomal RNA", at positions 28 to 507 of the family's 1533-position model. The record is from RNAcentral.